GGGUGUCACUGUGGGCAGUCACAGAAAGGUCAUGGCCUGGUGUCAAAUCUCCAAGGGAGAAACUUUGGCUGGCACAUGGGGUCAGGGGACAGUGUCAGAAUAUCCCAGCCCCUAAGCUCUGAAUACAAAAGUGGAACUCUUUAAUUCCUGUGUAAACUUUGAGAAGGCAAACACUCCCUUACUCUCCUGGCUCCAUUAUAAGGAGCUGUGUUUGCACUGCCAACUUCUUGGGGCUCUUCUGAGGUCUGCAGGGUUAUUUUGUUGCUGUUGGUGGUGCUGGUAUUGUUGGUAUUUUGUUUUGUUUUGAGGGCAAAGCCGACCAUCUCCUAGCUGCUUUAGGAAGAGAAGGGCAGAGAGCAAGUUUCUGUGAUUGCCACAGUGUGGAGACUGCCUUCUGCCCAACUUUGUAUCGCUCCAGACACCGCGGGGUUGAAAUCCACUCUUCACGCUAAGGUUGGCCAAUAUUUGAAGACCCGUUUGUGUAAAUAUCAGGAACUGUCAGAACCCAGCAGCAGGAAACCCUACCCCCAACGCACAUCAAGAUCCGUUGUCCCUGCCCAAAACAACAGAUCAGCUUCCUAGAAGGCCCUUGCUCAAACCUGGGAGUAACGUCAGCCUGCCCUCUGCCUGUGCGUAUGAAGGCUGACCUUCUGAGAUCAAACACUGUCCUGUCCAAGAGUCCCCUUGCCUGGAAAUGUCCCUGCCUGGCGCAGAUCGCUGUUUCCCUCAGACCCUCAGCAGCCUGACUGUCUUCCCAGGGUGACCAGCCCAGCUCUGCUCUGAGACACAGCUCUGCCAAAGUAAACCGCAUGGCUUAUAAACAGUUUAAAAAUCAUUUUUCCCUGAUGAGCUAAGAAUGCAUAAGGGAGAGAGAGAGGAACUUCAUUUUUUUUAAAAAUAAAAAAUGGGUCUUUUAGUGUUAUUAUUAAUAAAGUCAUGUUGGUGAUUAGAUAUUUCAAAGGUAUCCAGGGAUGUUUCAGAGGCCGGGGAUGACCCGGAAGCUAUACAGGACCCAUCUGUGACAGAGAAGAAGAAUCCAUAGUAGCUGUCGCACAACGGAAGCCCUGGAAGCAAAGCUAAGAACCCAUCACGUGGCUGGGAUGCCAUAUAGUGUCCAAAACAGAGCUGUUAACCAGGGUCUGCUGCUGGCCCAGCACUUGCUUCUUCUAGACAAAAUAGCCGGUUUCCCAGGAUUUUGCAAGUGGCAGAUGAGACCUGAAUGGUUUCACACCAGAUCUUGGCAGGGAUUUGUUAACCCUGUUUGCAAGGUUGUCCUAGACUGGAUCACAACGUACAUAGAAAUGGGUCUGAAAUUCCCUUGUAGAACAAAUUCCUUAGUACAGCUUUCCAUCUGGAAAUUAACCUUGCAAAAAUGCUAACAGGACUGGAAGGUGCCUCGGUGGGGCCAGAUGACCAUGGUAGCACACACAUCUGCGAGCCCAGCAUUCUUACGGUGAGAUGGGAAACUAAGACAAGAAUCCACAGAGGCUUGAGGGCCGGCUAGCCUUGGAAUGUGCAGCAGGGAACAAUAAGAGUGUCUCAGACAAAAAGGCCCUGUGUGGUUUAAUAGGACCAGCGGAGGUUGUCCUAUGAUCUCCACCCAUGAGCUUCGGUAUGCUUCCCCAACAACGUUAAUAAGAAGGGCAAGGAUAAGAACAGUGAGCGUAGACCAGCGGCAGCUGAACAGAUAGAUGGUACCAUUUAUUUGGUCCAGCCCAAUGCCCUGCUAGCAUCUCUGUUUGCUUUGAUCUGCAUGCAUGAUCUGCUCCUCUCCGGGGGAUGGAGAAUGCAAAGGGACUAGAUCUUACUCCAGGGUACACUUUUAGCAUCGAAGCCACUGCAGCCUGUGGCAAGCACGCAGGAGGGUGGAGGAGACUGUCGCCUCUGCUGGACACCGUGAAUCAGUGCUUGUUCUGCACUUACAAUGCACAUCAUCACCAUAGAAACCUGGCAAGAGCUGGGUAAGAGUCUGUGGGUUCUGCCAAAUGAAUGUUUUGCUGUUAUGAUUCGCAGCGAUCCUAUUAAAUCACAAGGAGUGUUUUUCUGCUGGGCAGCAGAUGCUGUCAUAAAACACGUUCGUCCUCAGAUUCGCACGCAGGCACGCAGCCCUUUGACCAGCCCCACCGUGCGUGUUGACAUAGGCGGGCUGCAAACGCCACCCACAGCUGUGGGCUUGCUGCAGGGACUCCCCUGCAACAGGUGUGUGUUUUAAAGGACCCUGAACCUGGAUUUACAGUGGGGCCAGCUGCUGCCUUUGGGACUGACCAUUUGUCAUCUCUAGAUGGGUCACCCUCCUCAAAGACUGGCUUGUUGGAAAUUCUAUCCUCGCCAUGGGACCCUGUCGUAAUUCUCAUUCUGCUGGCUUCUGCUAGCAUGGAGGGAAGAAGUCGGACGGUUUGCCCAAGCUAUUCUGAAGUACGUCAGUCACGUUGGUGUUCUGUGGUUCAAAAAUAUUAAGCAAGAAAUAUUAAGCGAUUCCAUUGGUGUGUCACAGACUGGACAUCAAGCAAAUACAAGUCAUCCCAUAAAAUACAGAGAGCCUCCAAGGGUUCCAGUUCCCCAUCAUCUCAUGUAUUCCGGUGAGCCUGAUGUUCCUGUGUUCCCAUGGCUACUUUUCUUUAACCCCACGCUGGAAUUGGGAAAUCUGGGGCGGGCAGGGUCCCAUGACUAGGAUCGGGAGUCCCGCCCUAUUUCUUCUGCCCAGCUCAUUGGCUGACCGGCUCUUUUACUAACAAAUCAGAAGUGAUGGAAAACAAUUUUUACAUGACAUUGAGACCAGAGAUGCUUGACCUGGCCUUCAUCUAGACUGCUGCCAGCUGUCUGGGCAUGGGAAUCAGUAUCUGAAAACACAGUGCACAGAACCCAUCCCCCAACGAACUAUAGCUAUAUGAUCUGCUGGCCUUCAUAACCAUACACAUAUACGUAAUGAGACAAACGGCAGCCUGCUAACUACAAGUCACUUCCCAAUGUGAGGUCUUGAGAAAGGUUCUCUUCUAGAGGACUGAACGGUGGAGAAGACAAAUUUCAUGACCAUGAAGAAUCAAGCUUGAUGCCCAUGAAAAGUUGGUCCAAUCAAACUGCAGCCUGCAAGGCAGAGAAAGCUGUAUCUACAGUGUAGUGCUGGUCUGAGGUAAAGUGGAUUCGUACUUAAUUUCCCAGCAGCCUAAUGGGAACUCUCGCCCUUGCACGGAGCCCUAAAUUCUCCAGCUUAUGAGGUGCUAAUGGAGUCUCAGUUUUCUCACCGGGAAGUUGGAUUUCAUGCACAUUCAGGGAGCAGGAAGAGAAGGAAUUUGAAUAUAGUAGCACCCCUUGUCCGUGGUUUCCCUUUCUACGGGUUCGUUUGCCUGCGGGCAAUUGUGGUCUGAAAAUAUUAGGUGGAAAAGAUCUAGGAAAAAAAAAUCAUAAACUUUCAAUUGCAUAUUGUUUUUAGUAACAUACCAAAGCUCGCAGAGCUCUUUUCCCCUGUCUGGAACGUGAUUUACCGUCGUGCCCAGUGGACCCAAGUUGAGGUGGUUACCCACUCAUUAGUAAUCCAGUAGACAUCUUCAAUGAAGUCACAACGAUUAUGUUCCAGAUACCAUUAUUUUACUUAAUAGUGGCCUGGAAUAAAAGUAUUUAUUAUAGCAUA
This is a long non-coding RNA of Rattus norvegicus (Norway rat), 3628 nucleotides long. RefSeq lists it as uncharacterized. NCBI's taxonomy places the organism in Eukaryota, Metazoa, Chordata, Mammalia, Rodentia, Muridae. The record is from RefSeq and is a predicted model, not a curated record.